This is a non-coding RNA of Callithrix jacchus (white-tufted-ear marmoset), 1938 nucleotides long. The record is from RefSeq and is a predicted model, not a curated record. NCBI's taxonomy places the organism in Eukaryota, Metazoa, Chordata, Mammalia, Primates, Cebidae.
UGAGUAGACCAGCUGUAGGUCCAUGCUGGAGUUUUUCUUUCAUUGUCAACAUAUGUGGGGGAUCAAAUGACCAUCUACCAGCAGUAAUCCUGCCACCAGGCAGCACGGGCUGGAGCAGGACACCCAGAGCCAUCAGACGAGACUGCUGCUGCUGGUGAAUCGUGAAGUCCCCUCCCCACCCUGCCACUGAAGGUGCUGGAGAGUCCCGGUUUGUAAGAGACCGUGGCCCAACACUUCCUGGGAACCAUAGCACAGGCCUGCUGCUUCAUGAAAAAGUGUGCAUGCAAUUCCUAAGGAUACCACGGACACAAAAACUGAGGAUUAAAGAUUUUUUAAAAAACCUGUUGAACGUCACUCAACCAAGUCAUGAGAAGAAUGGAAACAGCUGAAGAUAUAGGAUGGAUACAGAUAGGAGAGUGGAGAAGAUCUUGCACCUGAUUUUUUUCCAUUAGAGAACUGUCGACCCUCAUCUUCACUGCAAAUGACUUAGAUGAGGCUGAUUUCAGCACUAAGGCUGAACAAAUUAUCCAAGUCAACCCUAUUAGACUUAUAAUCUCAGGACUUUCGUUGGAACAAUUGAGGCAAAGAGACCUUCUUCACUGAGACAACCAGGGGCAAGGAAAACGUAAGCAUGGAAUGGUCAGGCCAACUAGAGAGGAAGCCUGGUAAUAAACUAAUGAAGUGAAGAGGGGAAGAAAGAGAUGGACAGGUAGACCUAAUACAUUAUUUAAGUCCCUGGAUACCACCAUGCCUGAAGCUUAUCUUUGGACAUUGCAGUUAUCAGAACCCAGAAGAAAAAAUUGAAGUUUGGAGAGAGAGAGGAAGAAGCCAUUUACCCACAGCCACACUGUUGGUGGUAAUGGGAUUCAAGCCUAUGAAUUAAAAAACUACACCACAGUGUCUCUCCUUGAGAUUGGACAAUGUCCUAUGGGCAGAACUCACUGCCUUCUGCAGUGAUGUGAAGUCUAGUAUUCACCAGCAACAACUAUGCCCAAUAGUGUCCCACCUAGCUCCUGGGUUUCAAAGUAACAAUUCUGCAGAUGGCCUGGAUUAGAAGACCCAAUGCAACUUGGUCUCAUUAACAUUUGAAACCAACCUUUUGCAGUGAAUAAACCUUUUCACCACAAGCUUAAGUUGUAGAAGAGGAAUGAUUUGGAAAUUUGGAUGUCACUAGGGGAACUUUAGCAAUAUUAGCUUUGUAAGGAAUUUGCAAAGCCAGAUACCAAAAAUUGUAUGUGAUGGAACAGGGAAUUCUUUAGGUGACAACUGUCCUCGCACAGAAGAAAAAAAACAUCAUGCCUCUUAGGCAGUUUUCAAAAAAAUGGGUAAUAAAUCUAGGGAGAGUUUUCAUUCUCUCCCUAAGUUUUAACUCUUCAAUAAAGUUGCAUAGCAGAAUACAAAGCAGCAUUCUCAAGAGCAUUGAGAGCUCAACUUCUUUUUCUUUUAUUUCUUUAAAACUUUAUUUUUAGUUGACAAUGAUGGUUAUUAACUGGCUUUUCAGGUUUACAUUCUACCAAUAUUCAUUAUUCUAGGAAUUUAAAACAUGCAAAUAUUUCAUUUACAAUAUUUUCUUCUGAAGGCCUUUUUAAAAAUUUUGACAAGGGUAACUUUAUUAAAGCAAAGAACUGAAGAUAAUGUUAAGGGACUCUACCUCCACCAUCUUUCCUAACUUAUAUCUUCCUUGAGAAAUCGGGCAAGGUUAAGUUUGCUUUUUUCCAGUGCUGCUGUUUUGGCUUGUUUUGGUAGCUGCAUUUUCAUUUCUGAUUCUGGUUCUGGAACUCUAUGGUUAAUUUCAGAGUCAACCUCAGCAAUCUGAAGUCUCCUCUUCAUCCUAGCUGAAGCUGACACUUUUUUCUCUCCCCUAUUCUUUUGCUAAGUAGAUUUUGAUGCCUGUGUUUCUUUUACAUCACAAAGAAGAGUCAUAUAUGCUUCCUUAUU